AAAUCCUCCAAAAAUACUCCUCAGUCUCCAGAUCUGAAAAUUUAAAAUUUCAGAUCCAAAUUCUUUAUAUUUUAGCUUUCAUUAAAGAAAAAACCAAAAAAAAGCAAUAGAGAAUUUCCACAAAACCAAAAAAAAAAAAACUCAGAAACCCAAAAUAUGUUACUGCUUCAUUGAAGUUGAGUUCAGUUUUCUAGUUAGCAGUCUCAUAAUUGGUAUAUCAAAUUAGGUUGAGUUAGCUUGGGGUCGAUUGUUAGAUGUUUUGAGCUGGAUUGAAAUUCAACAAGUCAGUUGGUAGUUAGCUGCGGGUUUGAAUUGUUGUGGUGGUCGUUAGGAUUUUUAUCCUUCAUCUAGGCUUAUUCGAAUUUCAUGUUCGUUGAAUUAUUUGCUAUGCUAAUUACAAAAUAUCUGGGUUUAAAUUCACUGAGAUGUGCACUGGCUACUGCCUGAUUUGCUGUUGAAUCUGCUGUGUUUUACUGCUCUUGACUCCUUCUUCUUCUGUUUCCUCUCAAAAUCCAAGUACUAUCCUUGUCCCUGCAUGAAUUACGAAGGAUCUGUGUAAUUUGAAUUGAAUAAUCAAAUGAAGAACUGUGCUUAAAUGAUUGCUGAAUUCACCGGAUUUCUAUUGGUGUUCAUAUGUGAAACAAUCUUGGUUAGAUGGAUGUUCUAGUAGUGGUUUAAGUAAAGUUUGCUGUAGUAAGUUGAACAAUGGUUGUAUAAUUACGUAGUAGCUUAUAAUAUGUAGCAAUAAGACUGAACUCCUAUGAUGCUCGUACCUGAGAAUAAAACUGAGUAGUAACAAUAGUUCAAAACAACCUUAUCUUAUUAAGUCAUGCGUCCAGGUGUUUGAUUUGGUUGAGCUGUUAAUCUAGCUCAGCCUGUAAAUUAGUUUGAUAGCU
This 896-nucleotide long non-coding RNA is filed under the name Nicotiana benthamiana. RNAcentral describes it as "long non-coding RNA (NBEN_LNC024288)". Lineage: Eukaryota; Viridiplantae; Streptophyta; Magnoliopsida; Solanales; Solanaceae. The record is from RNAcentral.